RNAcentral lists this ribosomal RNA (404 nucleotides) under uncultured bacterium. RNAcentral describes it as "bacterial SSU rRNA". It matches the Rfam family "Bacterial small subunit ribosomal RNA", at positions 355 to 776 of the family's 1533-position model. The record is from RNAcentral.
UGGGGAAUCUUGCGCAAUGGGGGCAACCCUGACGCAGCCAUGCCGCGUGAAUGAUGAAGGCCUUAGGGUUGUAAAGUUCUUUUGCCCGUGACGAUGAUGACGGUAACGGGAGAAUAAGCUCCGGCUAACUUCGUGCCAGCAGCCGCGGUAAUACGAAGGGGGCUAGCGUUGUUCGGAAUUACUGGGCGUAAAGCGCGCGCAGGCGGUUCGAUAAGUUGGGGGUGAAAUCCCUGGGCUCAACCCAGGAAUGGCCUUCAAGACUGUCGAGCUAGAGGACGAGAGAGGUGAGUGGAAUUCCCAGUGUAGAGGUGAAAUUCGUAGAUAUUGGGAAGAACACCGGUGGCGAAGGCGGCUCACUGGCUCGUUUCUGACGCUGAGGCGCGAAAGCGUGGGGAGCAAACAGG